UACGUAGGGGGCAAGCGUUGUCCGGAUUUAUUGGGCGUAAAGAGCUCGUAGGCGGCUCGGUAAGUCGGAUGUGAAACCUCCAGGCUCAACCUGGAGACGCCAUCUGAUACUGCCGUGGCUUGAGUCCGGUAGAGGAGCAGGGAAUUCCUGGUGUAGCGUGAAUGCGCAGAUAUCAGGAGGAACACCAAUUGCGAAGGCAGCUCGCUGGGACGUAACUGACGCUGAGACGCGAAAGCGUGGGGAGCAAACAGG
Molecule: ribosomal RNA, 252 nt
Filed under: uncultured bacterium
Lineage: Bacteria
Description: partial 16S ribosomal RNA
Rfam family: Bacterial small subunit ribosomal RNA
Source: RNAcentral